AUUGAACGCUGGCGGCGUGCUUAACACAUGCAAGUCGAACGCGAACGGGGCUUCGGCCCCAAGUAGAGUGGCGCACGGGUGAGUAACGCGUGGACAAUCUGCCCUUAUGACUGGAAUAACAGUUGGAAACGGCUGCUAAUACCGGAUACGCUCAGGAAGAACUUUUUGAGGAAAGGCGGCCUCUGCUUGCAAGCUGUCGCAUAAGGAUGAGUCCGCGUCCCAUUAGCUAGUUGGCGGGGUAACGGCCCACCAAGGCAACGAUGGGUAGCCGAUUUGAGAGGAUGAUCGGCCACACUGGGACUGAAACACGGCCCAGACUCCUACGGGAGGCAGCAGUGGGGAAUAUUGCGCAAUGGGCGAAAGCCUGACGCAGCGACGCCGCGUGAGGGAUGAAGGUUUUCGGAUCGUAAAC
Molecule: ribosomal RNA, 412 nt
Filed under: uncultured bacterium
Lineage: Bacteria
Description: bacterial SSU rRNA
Rfam family: Bacterial small subunit ribosomal RNA
Source: RNAcentral